CCCAGGCGGUGGAUCCUUCCCGGUUUGGAGGAUUGUUCGCCCACAAGGGGAUUGGACCCGGCCCCAUAUCCUUCGGGAGGCAGCAGUAGGGAUCUUCCCCAAUGGGCGAAAGCCUGAUGGAGCAACGCCGCGUGUGUGAUGAAGGGUUUCGGCUCGUAAAACACUGUUGUAAGAGAAGAAUGACAUUGAGAGUAACUGUUCAAUGUGUGACGGUAUCUUACCAGAAAGGAACGGCUAAAUACGUGCCAGCAGCCGCGGUAAUACGUAUGUUCCAAGCGUUAUCCGGAUUUAUUGGGCGUAAAGCGAGCGCAGACGGUUAUUUAAGUCUGAAGUGAAAGCCCUCAGCUCAACUGAGGAAUUGCUUUGGAAACUGGAUGACUUGAGUGCAGUAGAGGAAAGUGGAACUCCAUGUGUAGCGGUGAAAUGCGUAGAUAUAUGGAAGAACACCAGUGGCGAAGGCGGCUUUCUGGACUGUAACUGACGUUGAGGCUCGAAAGUGUGGGUAGCAAACAGGAUUAGAUACCCUGGUAGUCCACACCGUAAACGAUGAGUGCUAGGUGUUUGAGGGUUUCCGCCCUUAAGUGCCGCAGCUAACGCAUUAAGCACUCCGCCUGGGGAGUACGACCGCAAGGUUGAAACUCAAAGGAAUUGACGGGGACCCGCACAAGCGGUGGAGCAUGUGGUUUAAUUCGAAGCAACGCGAAGAACCUUACCAGGUCUUGACAUCCCUUGACAACUCCAGAGAUGGAGCGUUCCCUUCGGGGACAAGGUGACAGGUGGUGCAUGGUUGUCGUCAGCUCGUGUCGUGAGAUGUUGGGUUAAGUCCCGCAACGAGCGCAACCCUUAUUACUAGUUGCCAGCAUUCAGUUGGGCACUCUAGUGAGACUGCCGGUGACAAACCGGAGGAAGGUGGGGAUGACGUCAAAUCAUCAUGCCCCUUAUGACCUGGGCUACACACGUGCUACAAUGGCGUAUACAACGAGUUGCCAACCCGCGAGGGUGAGCUAAUCUCUUAAAGUACGUCUCAGUUCGGAUUGUAGGCUGCAACUCGCCUACAUGAAGUCGGAAUCGCUAGUAAUCGCGGAUCAGCACGCCGCGGUGAAUACGUUCCCGGGUCUUGUACACACCGCCCGUCACACCAUGAGAGUUUGUAACACCCAAAGCCGGUGGGGUAACCUUCGGAGCCAGCCGU
This 1192-nucleotide ribosomal RNA is filed under the name Weissella cibaria. RNAcentral describes it as "bacterial SSU rRNA". It matches the Rfam family "Bacterial small subunit ribosomal RNA", at positions 268 to 1456 of the family's 1533-position model. Lineage: Bacteria; Bacillati; Bacillota; Bacilli; Lactobacillales; Lactobacillaceae. The record is from RNAcentral.